This 440-nucleotide ribosomal RNA is filed under the name uncultured bacterium. Its description in RNAcentral is "partial 16S ribosomal RNA". It matches the Rfam family "Bacterial small subunit ribosomal RNA", at positions 338 to 795 of the family's 1533-position model. The record is from RNAcentral.
CCUACGGGAGGCAGCAGUGGGGAAUAUUGCACAAUGGGGGAAACCCUGAUGCAGCGACGCCGCGUGAGUGAAGAAGUAUUUCGGUAUGUAAAGCUCUAUCAGCAGGGAAGAAAAUGACGGUACCUGAUUAAGAAGCCCCGGCUAACUACGUGCCAGCAGCCGCGGUAAUACGUAGGGGGCAAGCGUUAUCCGGAUUUACUGGGUGUAAGGGGAGCGUAGACGGCAGCACAAGUCUGGAGUGAAAUGCCGGGGCUUAACCCCGGAACUGCUUUGGAAACUGUGCAGCUAGAGUGCAGGAGAGGUAAGUGGAAUGCGUGGUGUAGCGGUGAAAUGCGUAGAUAUUAGGAGGAACACCGGUGGCGAAGGCGGCUUACUGGACUGUAACUGACGUUGAGGCUCGAAAGCGUGGGGAGCAAACAGGAUUAGAUACCCUAGUAGUC